CCUACGGGGGGCAGCAGUGAGGAAUAUUGGUCAAUGGACGCAAGACUGAACCAGCCAUGCCGCGUGCAGGAAGAAGGUUCGAUGAGUCGUAAACCUCUUUUGUACGAGGGCAAACGCAGAGACGCGUAUCUGGCUGAGAGUACCGUAAGAAUAAGCAUCGGCUAACUCCGUGCCAGCAGCCGCGGUAAUACGGAGGAUUCCAGCGUUAUCCGGAUUUAUUGGGUUUAAAGGGUGCGUAGGCGGUCGGAUAAGUUAGCGGUGAAAUCCCGGGGCUCAACCUCGGAAUUGCCGUUGAUACUGUUCGGCUAGAGAGUGGGUGAGGUAGGCGGAAUGCAUGGUGUAGCGGUGAAAUGCUUAGAGAUCGUGCAGAACACCGAUUGCGAAGGCAGCAUGCC
RNAcentral lists this ribosomal RNA (395 nucleotides) under uncultured bacterium. Its description in RNAcentral is "partial 16S ribosomal RNA". It matches the Rfam family "Bacterial small subunit ribosomal RNA", at positions 338 to 730 of the family's 1533-position model. The record is from RNAcentral.